GAUGAACGCUAGCGGCAGGCUUAAUACAUGCAAGGCGAGGGGGCAGCAAUGUCACCGUCGUACGGGUGCGUAACGCGUAUGCAACCUACCUAUCACUGGGGGAUAGCCCGGGGGAAACCCGGAUUAAUACCGCAUAACACAGGGGUCCCGCAUGGGUACUAUUUGUUAAAGAUUUAUCGGUGGUAGAUGGGCAUGCGUUC
This 200-nucleotide ribosomal RNA is filed under the name uncultured bacterium. Its description in RNAcentral is "partial 16S ribosomal RNA". It matches the Rfam family "Bacterial small subunit ribosomal RNA", at positions 28 to 238 of the family's 1533-position model. The record is from RNAcentral.